RNAcentral lists this unclassified non-coding RNA (236 nucleotides) under Hevea brasiliensis (rubber tree). The record is from RNAcentral. Lineage: Eukaryota; Viridiplantae; Streptophyta; Magnoliopsida; Malpighiales; Euphorbiaceae.
AGUUCAUCAAAACCAAUUGCAGACUAAUCAUUUGCAUCAUUCAACACAUAAUCAUGCACCAAAAUAAGGAUCAUGUGCUGCAGGCAGAUUAGCUUCUGAUAUCUGUAAUUUAUAGCAUGAAGUAUAAGGCAAGGACCUACUUCCAACUAACAAGUGUCUUGCAAUUGAAGCUCAAAAAUCUGCAAAUAAUUUAAGCCAAGCCAAGAAUACGAAUGUUUGAUGUAGAACAAGAAGAA